RNAcentral lists this ribosomal RNA (609 nucleotides) under Pustula tragopogonis. RNAcentral's name for it is "LSU rRNA". It matches the Rfam family "Eukaryotic large subunit ribosomal RNA", at positions 96 to 607 of the family's 3401-position model. Lineage: Eukaryota; Oomycota; Peronosporomycetes; Albuginales; Albuginaceae. The record is from RNAcentral.
AAGCGGGAAGAGCUCAAGCUUAAAAUCUCCUUGCAGUCUCUGCUCGGCGAAUUGUAGUCUAUUGAGACGUAGUCAGCGCGCAGGAUCCGGUCAAGUUCCUUGGAAGAGGACAGCAUGGAGGGUUACACUCCCGUCUCUGCCGGCAAAUGCACGCGUACGACGCGUCUUCUUUGAGUCGCGUUGUUUGGGAAUGCAGCGCAAAGCAGGUGGUAAAUUCCAUCUAAAGCUAAAUACCUGUGCGAGACCGAUAGCGAACAAGUACCGUGAGGGAAAGAUGAAAAGAACUUUGAAAAGAGAGUUAAAGAGUACCUGAAACUGCUGAAAGGGAAGCGAAUCGCGUCCGCUGUCCAUCCGUGGUGAACCGCUUCGGCGAUUCCCGCGGAGGAGUCAAAGUCAGUUUGGUGUCGAAGGUAAAGUCGACUGUGCGCGUAGCAUGGCUGACUUUCGGGUCCGGGCCCUACGAGAAACGUUGUGCGUAGCCUCGACGAGGACUGAGGCGAUAACAGCAACCGCGUGUGCUCCGUAAGUUUGUGCGGAGAUCGGAUAGGCAGGCCCUACCUCCUGGCGAGAUGCUCCACUAUACAUGAGCCGCAUGUACGCGAGCGGAUG